GAACGACGUUUUCGCCAUAACAAAUGCUGUUCCAGCUAUAGCUCUUCUUUCCUACGGUUUCUUCCAUAAAGGGAUCGUCCCUGGCCUCUGUUUCGGCGCUGGAUUGGGGAUCACAGUAUUUGGGAUGGCUUACAUGUUCGUUCACGAUGGACUGGUUCAUAAGAGAUUUCCCGUAGGGCCUAUUGCCAACGUGCCUUACUUUCGGAGGGUAGCUGCAGCACAUCAGCUUCAUCACUCGGACAAAUUUGAUGGUGUCCCAUAUGGCUUGUUCCUAGGACCUAAGGAAUUGGAAGAAGUAGGAGGACUUGAAGAGUUAGAAAAGGAAGUCAACCGAAGGAUUAAAAUUUCUAAGGGAUUAUUAUGAUCAAAAGAUACGUCUGAUAAUAAUAAAAUGCGAUUGUAUUUAGGCUGUAGAUUAUUAUUGGGAAAAAGAUAGAAAGAUAUAUAUAUGAAUAUAAUAUAAAAUGCAA
This 470-nucleotide unclassified non-coding RNA is filed under the name Hevea brasiliensis (rubber tree). Lineage: Eukaryota; Viridiplantae; Streptophyta; Magnoliopsida; Malpighiales; Euphorbiaceae. The record is from RNAcentral.